CGCCUGGGGAGUACGGCCGCAAGGUUAAAACUCAAAUGAAUUGACGGGGGCCCGCACAAGCGGUGGAGCAUGUGGUUUAAUUCGAUGCAACGCGAAGAACCUUACCUGGUCUUGACAUCCACAGAACCCUGUAGAGAUACGGGGGUGCCUUCGGGAACUGUGAGACAGGUGCUGCAUGGCUGUCGUCAGCUCGUGUUGUGAAAUGUUGGGUUAAGUCCCGCAACGAGCGCAACCCUUAUCCUUUGUUGCCAGCGGUCCGGCCGGGAACUC
Molecule: ribosomal RNA, 270 nt
Filed under: Escherichia coli
Lineage: Bacteria; Pseudomonadati; Pseudomonadota; Gammaproteobacteria; Enterobacterales; Enterobacteriaceae
Description: partial 16S ribosomal RNA
Rfam family: Bacterial small subunit ribosomal RNA
Source: RNAcentral